UAAUACGGAGGGGGCUAGCGUUGUUCGGAAUUACUGGGCGUAAAGCGCGCGUAGGCGGCUUUGUAAGUUAGAGGUGAAAGCCCAGAGCUCAACUUUGGAAUAGCCUUUAAAACUGCAUCGCUUGAACACGGGAGAGGUGAGUGGAAUUCCGAGUGUAGAGGUGAAAUUCGUAGAUAUUCGGAAGAACACCAGUGGCGAAGGCGGCUCACUGGACCGUUGUUGACGCUGAGGUGCGAAAGCGUGGGGAGCAAACAGG
RNAcentral lists this ribosomal RNA (256 nucleotides) under uncultured bacterium. RNAcentral describes it as "partial 16S ribosomal RNA". It matches the Rfam family "Bacterial small subunit ribosomal RNA", at positions 521 to 776 of the family's 1533-position model. The record is from RNAcentral.